Molecule: ribosomal RNA, 765 nt
Filed under: uncultured bacterium
Lineage: Bacteria
Description: bacterial SSU rRNA
Rfam family: Bacterial small subunit ribosomal RNA
Source: RNAcentral
GAGUGGCGAACGGGUGAGUAACACGUGGGUAACCUGCCCAUCAGAAGGGGAUAACACUUGGAAACAGGUGCUAAUACCGUAUAACACUAUUUUCCGCAUGGAAGAAAGUUGAAAGGCGCUUUUGCGCCACUGAUGGAUGGACCCGCGGUGCAUUAGCUAGUUGGUGAGGUAACGGCUCACCAAGGCCACGAUGCAUAGCCGACCUGAGAGGGUGAUCGGCCACACUGGGACUGAGACACGGCCCAGACUCCUACGGGAGGCAGCAGUAGGGAAUCUUCGGCAAUGGACGAAAGUCUGACCGAGCAACGCCGCGUGAGUGAAGAAGGUUUUCGGAUCGUAAAACUCUGUUGUUAGAGAAGAACAAGGAUGAGAGUAAAAUGUUCAUCCCUUGACGGUAUCUAACCAGAAAGCCACGGCUAACUACGUGCCAGCAGCCGCGGUAAUACGUAGGUGGCAAGCGUUGUCCGGAUUUAUUGGGCGUAAAGCGAGCGCAGGCGGUUUCUUAAGUCUGAUGUGAAAGCCCCCGGCUCAACCGGGGAGGGUCAUUGGAAACUGGGAGACUUGAGUGCAGAAGAGGAGAGUGGAAUUCCAUGUGUAGCGGUGAAAUGCGUAGAUAUAUGGAGGAACACCAGUGGCGAAGGCGGCUCUCUGGUCUGUAACUGACGCUGAGGCUCGAAAGCGUGGGGAGCGAACAGGAUUAGAUACCCUGGUAGUCCACGCCGUAAACGAUGAGUGCUAAGUGUUGGAGGGUUUCCGCCCUUCAGU